This 547-nucleotide ribosomal RNA is filed under the name uncultured bacterium. RNAcentral's name for it is "bacterial SSU rRNA". It matches the Rfam family "Bacterial small subunit ribosomal RNA", at positions 355 to 896 of the family's 1533-position model. The record is from RNAcentral.
UGGGGAAUAUUGCACAAUGGGGGGAACCCUGAUGCAGCCAUGCCGCGUGAAUGAAGAAGGCCUUCGGGUUGUAAAGUUCUUUCGGUGACGAGGAAGGUUGGUAGGUUAAUAGCCUAUCAAAUUGACGUUAAUCACAGAAGAAGCACCGGCUAACUCCGUGCCAGCAGCCGCGGUAAUACGGGGGGUGCGAGCGUUAAUCGGAAUAACUGGGCGUAAAGGGCACGCAGGCGGUGACUUAAGUGAGAUGUGAAAGCCCCGAGCUUAACUUGGGAAUUGCAUUUCAUACUGGGUCGCUAGAGUACUUUAGGGAGGGGUAGAAUUCCACGUGUAGCGGUGAAAUGCGUAGAGAUGUGGAGGGAUACCGAAGGCGAAGGCAGCCCCUUGGGAAUGUACUGACGCUCAUGUGCGAAAGCGUGGGGAGCAAACAGGAUUAGAUACCCUGGUAGUCCACGCUGUAAACGAUGUCGAUUUGGGGAUUGGGCUUUGAGCUUGGUGCCCGUAGCUAACGUGAUAAAUCGACCGCCUGGGGAGUACGGCCGCAAGGUUA